CCUACGGGUGGCAGCAGUGGGGAAUAUUGGACAAUGGGGGCAACCCUGAUCCAGCCAUGCCGCGUGUGUGAAGAAGGCCCUCGGGUUGUAAAGCACUUUCAGUGAGGAAGAACGCCUGGUGGUUAAUACCCAUCAGGAAAGACAUCACUCACAGAAGAAGCACCGGCUAACUCCGUGCCAGCAGCCGCGGUAAUACGGGGGGUGCGAGCGUUAAUCGGAAUUACUGGGCGUAAAGCGCGCGUAGGUGGCUUGAUAAGCCGGUUGUGAAAGCCCCGGGCUCAACCUGGGAACGGCAUCCGGAACUGUCAAGCUAGAGUGCAGGAGAGGAAGGUAGAAUUCCCGGUGUAGCGGUGAAAUGCGUAGAGAUCGGGAGGAAUACCAGUGGCGAAGGCGGCCUUCUGGACUGACACUGACACUGAGGUGCGAAAGCGUGGGUAGCAAACAGGAUUAGAUACCCCGGUAGUC
This 465-nucleotide ribosomal RNA is filed under the name Vreelandella stevensii. RNAcentral's name for it is "partial 16S ribosomal RNA". It matches the Rfam family "Bacterial small subunit ribosomal RNA", at positions 338 to 795 of the family's 1533-position model. Lineage: Bacteria; Pseudomonadati; Pseudomonadota; Gammaproteobacteria; Oceanospirillales; Halomonadaceae. The record is from RNAcentral.